UACCAGCACCCCGAGUGGUCGGGACGAUUAUUGGGCCUAAAGCAUCCGUAGCCGGUUCUACAAGUCUUCCGUUAAAUCCACCUGCUUAACAGAUGGGCUGCGGAGGAUACUAUAGAGCCAGGAGGCGGGAGAGGCAAGCGGUACUUAGUGGGUAGGGGUAAAAUCCGUUGAUCCAUUGAAGACCACCAGUGGCGAAGGCGGCUUGCCAGAACGCACUCGACGGUGAGGGAUGAAAGCUGGGGGAGCAAACCGG
This 253-nucleotide ribosomal RNA is filed under the name uncultured bacterium. RNAcentral's name for it is "partial 16S ribosomal RNA". It matches the Rfam family "Archaeal small subunit ribosomal RNA", at positions 474 to 727 of the family's 1478-position model. The record is from RNAcentral.